CUGUGGUUUCCUCCAGACUCCCCUCUGCAAACUACAGAGAUUAAGAUUGUGGAGCUGCAGGUUGUCAGAGAUCAGCUGUGAAUAUCUGGUUGCAGCUCUGAAGUCCAAGCCGUCCUAUCUGACAGAACUGGACCUGAGAGAGAACAACCUGAAGGAGUCAGAUGUUCAGCAGCUGCAGGAUCUUGUAAAGAGUCCAGACUACAAACUGGAAUCUGUGAGGUGGAUGAGGUGAUGAUCUUAGUAGAGGAGAGAAGCUGAGCUGUCCUGAUGAUCCAGAGGUUGAAGCUGCAGCAGUUUGAGUUUAAAGAGACUCUGACUGGAUCCUGAUGAUGAACUCUGACCUUAGAGAUGUUGAUCCUAUUUAUCUGAUCAUGUCUGUCAUUUAGUGUGUGAUAUUGUUUGUCUCUUAGUACAAAUGAGGAAAUGAAAUGAAAGCUAAGCUGCAUUUAGUGGCUCCAUGUAGUUUGUAGUGAUCUGAAUCUGAUGAAACUGGAAAGUUGAUAUUUUUUCUCUCUGGUUCAUAUUCAGCCUGUAACCAAGAAAUCUGAAAUAAAGCUCAACUCUAAAGUUU
Fundulus heteroclitus (mummichog) is the source of this 571-nucleotide long non-coding RNA. RefSeq lists it as uncharacterized. The transcript has 3 exons. The record is from RefSeq and is a predicted model, not a curated record. NCBI's taxonomy places the organism in Eukaryota, Metazoa, Chordata, Actinopteri, Cyprinodontiformes, Fundulidae.